GUCUUGGCAGCCCACCCCAAAGCCCAAACUCCUGCCCGCAUGCUGGGAAGGUGAGCCCUUGCCUGGAGAGCCCAGCAGGGGAAAUAGAAGGAGGGAAGGAGGCCUGCUCCUUCCCCGGAGCUCUGCUCUGCGGCUGCAGGAAGACCCGCAGAGGCCCUGGGCAGCAGAACUGUGGACAGCAAGGCUGGAGUUGUGAAACCCAACCACUCAGCUGGAUUCCAGAAGCUCAGGUGGUGGUGACUAAACCUGGCCUUACUUAAAAUGCAUGACUUUAUUGUCUUUCAAUGUAUUUUCAGUAAACUUCAUCCUCUCCAUUACUAUUUUCUUUUCUUCGGAAACAAGCAACAGAUCUUUGUAAAAAAAAUAC
Molecule: long non-coding RNA, 367 nt
Filed under: Homo sapiens (human)
Lineage: Eukaryota; Metazoa; Chordata; Mammalia; Primates; Hominidae
Description: non-protein coding lnc-HPCAL1-1:9
Source: RNAcentral